UGGCAAUGAUGAGAAUAAUCACGAUGGUCUUCAUAUGUAAAGAGCAGUGAUGAACGUUAUCCAGAGCUGAGCCAGAACU
Molecule: small nucleolar RNA, 79 nt
Organism: Pomacea canaliculata
Lineage: Eukaryota; Metazoa; Mollusca; Gastropoda; Architaenioglossa; Ampullariidae
Product: small nucleolar RNA SNORD35
Exons: 1
Source: RefSeq, a predicted model, not a curated record